CACACAUAUAUAUACCCAUCUGUCUGUAGCUUGAAGCAAAAAAGUAAAAUGUCAAUUAGAAGCUACUUAUUGGUGCUAUGGAGUGAAUCUAAACCAGAAAGCAGGUGACAUUUCUAGAAACAUCUACUGUAACUGUCACUUGCAGGUUAAUGCAUAGUAAAAAACAGUUUUAUAAGUAGCUUUCAUGACACUAAGUAUCUGAUCUUUUGAACAAUUUCUUCAUGUAGACUAAAAUAACUAACUUUUGAAAUAAUUCUGUGAUCUCUGGAAACAAACUUAAAAAACAAAUGUGAAUUUAGGAAGCAAACAUCUUUGAUGUAAAGGCCUGCUUUUUUUCUGGUCUUUUUGAACAUUUUCUUUCUUUACCCUGUGAUGAAAUUUUAUCUCAUCUCUUAUGAGACACACAUUCAAGAAGGAUGAGCAGGAGGUUAAAAGGUGGCAGCAGAGUAAAGGAAUUCUCCUAAGGUUAAUUCUGCCAAAUCCAGGACCCUAUAAAAAAGUGUUUACGAGACUCCCUGUAUAGUAAUUCUGGUAGUAAUAUACUAGCCACCAUCACUCUGCCUGUUUACUUGUCUUUUCUUCCAUGAAAUUCAAGUUCCUUAAGGAUAUGAACCACUUGGCAAAAUAGGAAAACAUAACUAGUGUUGGAGUCGCUCAUCCCCAUAUUUUAUGCUAGCCUUUCAGUUUCUAUCUGUGUAAUCACAUUAUUUGUCAAAAAUUAACACUGGCUAAGCCAACUUCCUUUUUCUGUCGGAAUAAGCAGGCGAGGGCUGCUCUGGAGGCUGAAUAGCACAUCUGUGGGCUAGACUCCUUUCAUCUUUCUGCUUGAUUUCCUUCUCGUUUGCCUUUGUCCCCAAGGUUGCAACAAGCUAAGCCUCUGAUGUCUGCCUGCCCAACAGAAAGAAGAAGAGGACGCAGGAAGCAUGCAAAGAGCUUCCUCCCAAGAACUAACUCCUCCUUUCUGGAAGGACACCCUCCCCAAGGACUUCUGUCUAAUCACAUCGGCUCUGCUCCCUAGCCACAGUGUGGGGGUUAAAAUAAUUACUCCUUUGGGAACAUUUCGUUAACUUCAUUUACAGAGAUCUAAAUUCCAUCCAAGCAAAAGACGUAAUAAAUGCAAAACUCAAUUGGAAAAAUAAAGAGGU
RNAcentral lists this long non-coding RNA (1145 nucleotides) under Bos indicus x Bos taurus (hybrid cattle). Its description in RNAcentral is "lncRNA (ENSBIXG00000016144.1)". The record is from RNAcentral. Lineage: Eukaryota; Metazoa; Chordata; Mammalia; Artiodactyla; Bovidae.